ACGUAGGAGGAGAGCGUUAUUCGGAUUUACUGGGCGUAAAGCGCGUGCAGGCGGCUCGAUAAGUUGGAUGUGAAAGCUCCCGGCUUAACUGGGAGAGGUCGUUCAAUACUGUCGGGCUAGAGGAUGAGAGAGGGAGGUGGAAUUCCGAGUGUAGUGGGGGAAGUCGUAGAUAUUCGGAGGAACACCAGUGGCGAAAGCGGCCUCCUGGCUCAUAUCCUACGCUCAGACGCGAAAGUUAGUGUAUCAAACGG
This 251-nucleotide ribosomal RNA is filed under the name uncultured prokaryote. Its description in RNAcentral is "partial 16S rRNA". It matches the Rfam family "Bacterial small subunit ribosomal RNA", at positions 525 to 775 of the family's 1533-position model. The record is from RNAcentral.